Brachypodium distachyon (stiff brome) is the source of this 1290-nucleotide RNA transcript. It is a transcript of the gene named protein HHL1, chloroplastic, with no coding region annotated. The record is from RefSeq and is a predicted model, not a curated record. The transcript has 7 exons. Lineage: Eukaryota; Viridiplantae; Streptophyta; Magnoliopsida; Poales; Poaceae.
CCUGCGCUUAUCUUUCCCUCGUCUCCCCCUCCACUGCUUUGCUAGCUCGUCCUUCCACGGACAGCAGUGCCACGACGUAUCUAGGGCAAUCAAUCCAUGGAGGUGGUGGGCGGCGUGUCGCUGCGGCCGUCACCGGCGCCCGCGUCCGCGCGGCUCCGGCGACCCGGGGAGGCCGGCGCGGGCUUCCCGCGGCCACGGAGGCUUCAUGCCGCGAGGCUGGUGGUGGAGGCCCGCGGCGGCAGGGGCUGGUCGGACCGGCAGUCGCAGCAGCAGCGGCGCAUGCCGCAGCUCCCCAAGAUCGAGGACGACGGCAACCCGCGCUUCGUCAUCUUCAUCCGCACCGCCAAUGUCUACUUCUGGUACCCGCUCAACAUCGUCACCGGCGGCACCACCGCCAAGAUCAUGCUGGCGGCCAAGGACAACUUCCUCGGCAAGUACAUCUACAAGGACACGCUCGCCAGGAACCUCGCCACCGUCAUCUACAAAGAUGAGGAUGACAUAAUAGACACGGCGAAAGAGCAGUUCCGCGUGCUCAAGAGCGAAAACGAGUUUCGGUAUGGCUACAAAGUCGUGGAGAAGGGGAACCUGCGGUCUGCACUGGCCACGAGCAAUGUCAUCGAACUUCCAAAGAAAGAAGAGCUCAAAACUGUGGUUGACAAGGUGAAGGACUUCUUCGGUGAGGUAACGUCCGGCGCCAAGGAAUCCUUUGCGCAGAUAACAGGAUCCGCCAGCGAUGAGGCAGGAGCAGGAGCACAGGAGGAAGAAGAGAAGCCCCGCUUCAAGAGACGAAACAAGAAGAAGGGGAAGCAGCAGAAGUCGAAGCAGGGGUUUAAGCCCGAGAGCUGAUUGUGUCAACUGGGGGAUGUUGAAGUGUGGUACCACCGGCUGUAAUUUCUCAGAGCUGCUCUGUAGUUUCCCUGAAGCUUUUUGAGUUUUGCAACAUAGAAUGUGUAAACUCGAUAACACACAACGGCGAAGAUCACAGCUGUAUAUUGAUUUUCAAUGCUUUGCAAGAGUUUCAAUGGUUGUAAUUCCCCUCCAAAAUGUAAGUAUUUAGUGUCUAUUUCCUCAUGGUGUUCCCUGGCCAAGAUAUUAAAAAAGAAUAGUCUUUUUGGUAGUUUGGAACCAAAGCAUUAACUGGUAGUGUGGCCAAAGCGUCUUCCAAGACUUGGACUCGAGGAAGGUAAGAUCGCUAGAUCCAGCAUCAAGCAUACGAUUUCAGGCACCGGCUAAUAGAUACCCAUUCUGGAUGUACAUCUGAAAUAAGUAGUUACUGCUUCCGUUUCAUAA